UACGGAGGGUGCAAGCGUUGUUCGGAAUUACUGGGCGUAAAGCGCGUGUAGGCGGUUGGGCAAGUCAGAUGUGAAAGCCUUCUGCUUAACAGAAGAAGUGCAUUUGAAACUACCCGGCUAGAGUACGAGAGAGGAGAGUGGAAUUCCCGGUGUAGAGGUGAAAUUCGUAGAUAUCGGGAGGAACACCAGUGGCGAAGGCGGCUCUCUGGCUCGAUACUGACGCUGAGACGCGAAAGCGUGGGGAG
RNAcentral lists this ribosomal RNA (245 nucleotides) under uncultured bacterium. Its description in RNAcentral is "partial 16S ribosomal RNA". It matches the Rfam family "Bacterial small subunit ribosomal RNA", at positions 524 to 768 of the family's 1533-position model. The record is from RNAcentral.